RNAcentral lists this ribosomal RNA (449 nucleotides) under uncultured bacterium. RNAcentral describes it as "bacterial SSU rRNA". It matches the Rfam family "Bacterial small subunit ribosomal RNA", at positions 29 to 507 of the family's 1533-position model. The record is from RNAcentral.
AACGAACGCUGGCGGCAGGCCUAACACAUGCAAGUCGAACGCCGUAGCAAUACGGAGUGGCAGACGGGUGAGUAACACGUGGGAACGUACCUUUCGGUUCGGAAUAACUCAGGGAAACUUGAGCUAAUACCGGAUACGUGCGAGAGCAGAAAGAUUUAUCGCCGAAAGAUCGGCCCGCGUCCGAUUAGCUAGUUGGUGAGGUAAUGGCUCACCAAGGCGACGAUCGGUAGCUGGUCUGAGAGGAUGAUCAGCCACACUGGAACUGAGACACGGUCCAGACUCCUACGGGAGGCAGCAGUAAGGAAUAUUGCUCAAUGGCCGAAAGGCUGAAGCAGCAACGCCGCGUGGAGGACGAAAUACUUUUGUAUGUAAACUCCUGUAAGAAGGGAAAAUAUUCCGAUUUAUCGGGAUUGAUUGUACCUUCAGAGUAAGCCCCGGCUAACUACGUG